GGGCGGGGGGGGCCUAUACCUGCAAGUCGAGCGGACAGAAGGGAGCUUGCUCCCGGAUGUUAGCGGCGGACGGGUGAGUAACACGUGGGUAACCUGCCUGUAAGACUGGGAUAACUCCGGGAAACCGGAGCUAAUACCGGAUAGUUCCUUGAACCGCAUGGUUCAAGGAUGAAAGACGGUUUCGGCUGUCACUUACAGAUGGACCCGCGGCGCAUUAGCUAGUUGGUGGGGUAAUGGCUCACCAAGGCGACGAUGCGUAGCCGACCUGAGAGGGUGAUCGGCCACACUGGGACUGAGACACGGCCCAGACUCCUACGGGAGGCAGCAGUAGGGAAUCUUCCGCAAUGGACGAAAGUCUGACGGAGCAACGCCGCGUGAGUGAUGAAGGUUUUCGGAUCGUAAAGCUCUGUUGUUAGGGAAGAACAAGUGCGAGAGUAACUGCUCGCACCUUGACGGUACCUAACCAGAAAGCCACGGCUAACUACGUGCCAGCAGCCGCGGUAAUACGUAGGUGGCAAGCGUUGUCCGGAAUUAUUGGGCGUAAAGGGCUCGCAGGCGGUUUCUUAAGUCUGAUGUGAAAGCCCCCGGCUCAACCGGGGAGGGUCAUUGGAAACUGGGAAACUUGAGUGCAGAAGAGGAGAGUGGAAUUCCACGUGUAGCGGUGAAAUGCGUAGAGAUGUGGAGGAACACCAGUGGCGAAGGCGACUCUCUGGUCUGUAACUGACGCUGAGGAGCGAAAGCGUGGGGAGCGAACAGGAUUAGAUACCCUGGUAGUCCACGCCCUUAAACGAUGAGUGGCUAAGGGUUUAGAGGGUUUCCG
Molecule: ribosomal RNA, 820 nt
Filed under: Bacillus zhangzhouensis
Lineage: Bacteria; Bacillati; Bacillota; Bacilli; Caryophanales; Bacillaceae
Description: bacterial SSU rRNA
Rfam family: Bacterial small subunit ribosomal RNA
Source: RNAcentral